CCCUUAGACGUUCUGGGCCGCACGCGCGCUACACUGACCAGUGCAACAAGCAUCCGUCCUUGGCCGACAGGCCCGGGCAAUCUUUGAACGCUGGUCGUGAUGGGGAUAGACUUUUGCAAUUUUUGGUCUUCAACGAGGAAUUCCUAGUAAACGCAAGUCAUCAGCUUGCGUUGAUUACGUCCCUGCCCUUUGUACACACCGCCCGUCGCUCCUACCGAUUGAAUGGUCCGGUGAAGCGCUCGGACCGCGGCCUCUUGACGGUUCGCUGUCGAUUGGCUGUGGGAAGUUCGUUAAACCUUAUCAUUUAGAGGAAGGAGAAGUCGUAACA
RNAcentral lists this ribosomal RNA (328 nucleotides) under uncultured eukaryote. RNAcentral describes it as "partial 18S ribosomal RNA". It matches the Rfam family "Eukaryotic small subunit ribosomal RNA", at positions 1470 to 1796 of the family's 1831-position model. The record is from RNAcentral.